GUGAUUCUGGUUGAUCCUGCCAGUAGUCAUAUGCUUGUCUCAAAGACUAAGCCAUGCAUGUCUAAGUAUAAAUGUUAUACAGUGAAACUGCGAAUGGCUCAUUAAAACAGUUAUAGUUUAUUUGAUAAUCGAAUUUACAUGGAUAACCGUGGUAAUUCUAGAGCUAAUACAUGCUGGUUAGCCUGACUUUUGAGGAAGGGCUGUAUUUAUUAGAUAACAAACCAAUAUUCCUUGUGUCUAUUGUGAUGACUCAUAAUAACUGAUCGAAUCGCAUGGACUUUGUCCGCGAUAAAUCAUUCAAGUUUCUGCCCCAUCAGCUUUCGAUGGUAGUGUAUUGGACUACCAUGGCUUUAACGGGUAACGGAGGAUUAGGGUUCGAUUCCGGAGAGGGAGCCUGAGAAACGGCUACCACAUCUAAGGAAGGCAGCAGGCGCGUAAAUUACCCAAUCCUGACUCAGGGAGGUAGUGACAAGAAAUAACGGACCGAAGCCUAUGUUUCGGGAUUGCAAUGAGUUGAAUUUAAACCCCUUUACGAGGAUCAAUUGGAGGGCAAGUCUGGU
This 560-nucleotide ribosomal RNA is filed under the name uncultured eukaryote. RNAcentral describes it as "SSU rRNA". It matches the Rfam family "Eukaryotic small subunit ribosomal RNA", at positions 1 to 565 of the family's 1831-position model. The record is from RNAcentral.